UACAGAGGUCCCAAGCGUUGUUCGGAUUCACUGGGCGUAAAGGGUGCGUAGGUGGUUGGGUAAGUCUGAUGUGAAAUCUCCGGGCUCAACCCGGAAAUGGCAUUGGAUACUAUUCGGCUAGAGGGUUGGAGGGGGGACUGGAAUUCUCGGUGUAGCAGUGAAAUGCGUAGAUAUCGAGAGGAACACCAGUGGCGAAGGCGAGUCCCUGGACAACACCUGACGCUGAGGAGCGAAAGCCAGGGGAGCAAACGGG
RNAcentral lists this ribosomal RNA (253 nucleotides) under uncultured bacterium. RNAcentral describes it as "partial 16S ribosomal RNA". It matches the Rfam family "Bacterial small subunit ribosomal RNA", at positions 524 to 776 of the family's 1533-position model. The record is from RNAcentral.